Molecule: RNA transcript, 4225 nt
Organism: Nycticebus coucang (slow loris)
Lineage: Eukaryota; Metazoa; Chordata; Mammalia; Primates; Lorisidae
Gene name: diacylglycerol kinase beta-like
Exons: 1
Source: RefSeq, a predicted model, not a curated record
UAAACUGUCAAUGCCCUAUUGGACAUUCUUUGUGAUGUUCUUUAUUCUGACCCCAAUAUGGACAUAGCCAAGUUGGAUAUUUCCUCUGGUUGCAUUUAUUUUUUUACUGCCCCAAUUAAGGAAUUCUUGAUGUUUACCAUUUUGUGCAUUAUAAACCAGAGAUAGGAGGAGCAUGGGAACUUCCUUUUAAAAAAAUAAUCAUUGUCAAUUAGCUCCGUCUGGCUCAGCGGCUCAGACUGGGGCCCUAGACAACGGCCAAAGUUCUCCGCACUCCCGCUCAGGCUCUCCCCAAGGCAGUUCAACUGAGUGCCAAGUCCAAAGACACCAAAACAGAUCACAGUUAACGCAUUAUUGAAACUCCAAACAUCCAUAGCAGUUUCAUGUGGACAGAUUGCAUAUUUUGAAAGCUCCAGAUUAUUUUAUCAUUCAACAUGCCUCGUGGAAUCUUUGAAGCAUAGAGCUCUGCCCAGUACCCGAAUAGAGAAUCCGUCCCCUGGCAUGUGAGAAGAGCUCCUCACCACCAUGACAAACCAGGAAAAAUGGGCCCACCUCAGCCCUUCAGAAUUUUCUCAGCUUCAGAAAUAUGCUGAGUAUUCUACAAAGAAGUUAAAGGAUGUUCUUCAAGAAUUCCAUGACUAUUGAUUUUGAAGGUUUCAAACUAUUCAUGAAGACAUUCCUGGAAGCAUAGCUUCCCGAUGAUUUCACUGCACACCUUUUCAUGUCAUUUAGCAACAAGUUUCCCCAUUCUAGUCCAAUGGUAAAAAGUAAGCCUGCUCUCCUUUCUGGUGGGCUGAGAAUGAAUAAAGGUGCCAUUACCCCUCCCCGUACCUCUCCUGCAAAUACGCGUUCCCCAGAAGUGAUCCACCUGAAGGACAUUGUCUGUUACCUGUCUCUCCUUGAAAGAGGACGGCCUGAGGACAAGCUUGAGUUUAUGUUUCGCCUUUAUGACACGGAUGGGAAUGGCUUCCUGGACAGCUCGGAGCUAGAAAAUAUCAUCGGUCAGAUGAUGCAUGUUGCCAAAUACCUUGAAUGGGAUGUCACAGAACUUAAUUCAAUUCUCCAUGAAAUGAUGGAAGAAAUUGACUAUGAUCAUGAUGGAACAGUGUCUCUGGAGGAAUGGAUUCAAGGCAAAAUGACAACUAUUCCACUUCUUGUGCUCCUGGGCUUAGAAAAUAACGUGAAGGAUGGUGGACAGCAUGUGCGGAGACUCAAGCACUUUAACAAACCUGCCUACUGCAACCUGUGUCUGAACAUGCUCAUUGGCGUGGGGAAGCAGGGCCUUUGCUGUUCCUUCUGCAAGUACACAGUCCAUGAACGCUGUGGCCAGAGCACCUCCCUCUUGCAUCAAGACCUAUGUGAAGUCCAAAAAGAACACGGAUGUUAUGCAUCAUUACUGGGUUGAAGGCAACUGCCUGACCAAGUGCGAUAAGUGCCACAAAACGGUGAAAUGUUACCAGGGCCUGACAGGACUGCAUUGUGUUUGGUGCCAGAUCACAUUGCAUAAUAAAUGUGCGUCACAUCUAAAACCUGAAUGUGACUAUGGACCUUUGAAGGACCAUAUUUUACCACCCACAACCAUCUGUCCGGUGGUAUUGACUCUGCCCACUUCAGGAAUUUCAGUUCCUGAGGAAAGACAAGCAACAGUGAAAAAAGAAAAAAGUGGUCCCCAGCAGGCAAACAAAGUGACUGACAAGAACAAAAUGCAAAGAGCCAACUCUGUUACUGUGGAUGGGCAAGGCCUACAGAUCACUCCUGUUCCUGGUACUCACCCACUUUUAGUUUUUGUGAACCCCAAAAGUGGUGGGAAGCAAGGAGAACGAAUUUACAGAAAAUUCCAGUAUCUACUAAAUCCUUGUCAGGUUUACAGUCUUUCUGGAAAUGGACCAAUGCCAGGGUUAAACUUUUUUCGAGAUGUUCCUGACUUCAGAGUGUUAGCGUGUGGUGGAGAUGGAACUGUAGGCUGGACUUUGGAUUGCAUAGAAAAGGCCAAUGUAGUCAAGCAUCCUCCAGUUGCAAUUCUGCCUCUUGGGACCGGCAAUGAUCUAGCAAGAUGCCUGCGAUGGGGAGGAGGUUAUGAAGGUGAGAAUCUGAUGAAAAUCCUAAAAGACAUUGAAAACAGCACAAAAAUAACGUUGGACAGGUGGAAGUUUGAAGUCAUACCUAAUUACAAAGAUGAGAAGGGAGACCCAGUGCCUUACAGUAUCAUCAAUAAUUACUUUUCCAUUGGCGUGGAUGCCUCCAUUGCGCACAGAUUUCACAUCAUGAGAGAAAAACACCCAGAGAAAUUCAACAGUAGGAGGAUUUUGUCUGAGAUGCAAGUGUCACUCGUGCAGGGGAAGCUUGACAAGGACACUUUAACCGACAACACCUGCACUAACCUGUAAGAUGAGAGAGAAUAAGAAUCCCUACCUCGUGAGAUUAUUGAGAGGAUGAAAGGAAUGAUGAUCAACCACUUGAAUUCAUAGCUCAAAAAUAAUUUUGCAUGUCUCUGAUCUCUCAGAUGAGUCAAUACACAGACUCUCACGUAUUUUGCUUUCACAGGGUAAUGUUUAGUUCCCUGCCUAUAUUCUAUGUCUAUAAACUGUCAUUAUCAUGGCAAGCAUCACCAGAAUGAAUCAAAACAUACAUGGAAAGCUUCUGCUAGAUAAUCUUAAAAUAAUAAAUAUAAACUAAUCUAAAAAAAAUAAUAAUAAAAAUAAUCAUUGUCUCAGCUCGGCACCCACAGCCCAGUGGUUAGGGCGCCAGCCACAUACACCAGGGCCUGCUACACAACAAUGACAUCUACAACAAAAAAAUAGCUGAGUGUUGUGGUGGGCGCCUAUAGUCCCAGCUACUUUGUAGGCUGAGGCGAGAGAAUUGCUUAAGCCCAAGAGUUCGAGGUUGCUGUGAGCUGUGACACUACAGCACUCUACUGAGGGCGAAAUAGACUCAGUCUCAAAAAAAAAAAAAAAAAAGUCUCCCUUCAGGGGGCAAGCUUCCAACAUACCACUAUGUAAAAUAGUCAGCUCUCAGUGUACUAUAACUUGGUUCAAAGAAGUCAAUGCUGUCACUUUUUCUUUUCUGAGACUUGCUAUGAUUUCCAGCUGGAAGAGUGGACCACCUCAAAAACAACAGUCUUUCCACCCUAAAGAUCUCAGUAUUUCAAAGAAAUGGGGGGAAUGUGUUUGGACCUGUAUUAUAAAACGUAAUCUUUUUGUUUUUUUCUUCCAACCUCCCAAGACAGAACCUUGAUUUUUCCCCUGGACUACAGUGCAGUGAUGUCAGCCUAGCUCACUGCAACAUCAUACUCCAGGGUUCAAGCAGUCUUCCUGCCUCAGCUUUCUGAAUAGCUGGGUCUACUCACACCACACCUAGCUAAUUCUUAAAGUUUUUUGUCGUUACUGGUUUAUUUUUAGAGAUGGGGUCUCCCUGUUACUCAAACUUGUCUCAAACUCCUGGCCUCAAGCAAUCCUCUCAUCUCCGUGUCCCAAAGUGCUAGGAUUAUAGGUAUGAGCCACUGUGUCUGGCCAAUUUUUUUUUUAACGAGUACACUCCUACAAGGUCAUAUUCCUUCCACACUGAGGACACAAACGACUAAACCAAUACAGGAGAGGCAGUUGAUUGUAAAUUGGGCAUGUCAGAUGAAGACUGGCUUUUCUGUUCUUUUUUUUAUUUUUUUUUUCCAGACAGUCUCUGUCACCCUUGGUAGAGUGCCAUGGCAUAAUAGCUCACAGCAACCUCCAACUCCUGAGCUUAAGCAAUUCUCUUGCCUCAGCCUCCCAAGUAGCUAGGACUAACAGGCACCCGCCACAACGCCCAGCUAUUUUUAGAGACAAGGUCUCAUGCUCUGGCUCAGGCUGGUCUUGAACCUGUGAGCUUGGGCAAUCCAUCUGCCUUGGCCUCCCAAGUGCUGGAAUUAUAGACAUGAGCCACCGCACCCUGCUGAAGACUAGCUUUUUUUAAAUGAAUCUCAUCUCAAUGCAUAUUUGAUCACCAUACUUUAUGAGAAUUAUCAGGACAACACGUAUGUAAUAAUAGAUUUUCAUACUGUGCAUUAAUGAGAAGAUUUUUCAUUAAGUCCUCUUAGGGGGCAAUAUUAAAGAGGAAUCAUCUAAUUAAAUGUCUUCCUUACAUUUAGAGGUUUCUUUGCUGGAAAGGGGCAAGUGGGAAAAUAACAUAUUUUAUUGCUAACUAGAUGUAUGGUGCUUUUUUUGUUUUUUUUUUCCCCCGCAAUACUGAAUGUUUU